This 331-nucleotide ribosomal RNA is filed under the name uncultured bacterium. RNAcentral describes it as "bacterial SSU rRNA". It matches the Rfam family "Bacterial small subunit ribosomal RNA", at positions 568 to 898 of the family's 1533-position model. The record is from RNAcentral.
UGCGUAGAUGGCAUAACAAGUUAUCAGUGAAAACGAGGCCCAACCUCGUGGAAAUUGGUAAUACUAUUUUGCUUGAGUGCAGGAGAGGUUAAUGGAACUCCAUGUGGAGCGGUAAAAUGCAGAGAUAUAUGGGGGAACAUCAAUAAAGGCGAAGGCAGUUAACUAUUCUGCUACUGACAUUGAGGCACGAAAGCGUGGGGAGCAAAACGGAUUAGAUACCCGUGUAGUCCACGCCCUAAACGAUGAGUACUAAAUAUUGGGAACUUGAUUCUCAGUGUCGCUAGGUAACCCAGUAAGUACUCCGCCUGGGCAGUACGCUCGCAAGAGUGAA